GGUUUGAUCCUGGCUCAGAACGAACGCUGGCGGCAUGCCUAACACAUGCAAGUCGAACGCGUGUAGCAAUACACGAGUGGCGCACGGGUGAGUAACGCGUGGGAACCUGCCCUGGAGUGUGGGAUAACCCGGCGAAAGCCGGGCUAAUACCGCAUACGGCCUGAGGGCGAAAGAUUUAUCGCUCUAGGAGGGGCCCGCGUCGGAUUAGCUAGUUGGUGAGGUAACGGCUCACCAAGGCGAUGAUCCGUAGCUGGUCUGAGAGGAUGAUCAGCCACACUGGGACUGAGACACGGCCCAGACUCCUACGGGAGGCAGCAGUGGGGAAUAUUGGACAAUGGGGGCAACCCUGAUCCAGCAAUGCCGCGUGGGCGAUGAAGGCCUUCGGGUUGUAAAGUCCUUUUGCACGCGACGAUGAUGACGGUAGCGUGAGAAGAAGCCCCGGCUAACUUCGUGCCAGCAGCCGCGGUAAUAAGUUUCCUGUGUGA
Molecule: ribosomal RNA, 485 nt
Filed under: uncultured bacterium
Lineage: Bacteria
Description: bacterial SSU rRNA
Rfam family: Bacterial small subunit ribosomal RNA
Source: RNAcentral